Long non-coding RNA from Prionailurus viverrinus (fishing cat), 2734 nucleotides. RefSeq lists it as uncharacterized. The record is from RefSeq and is a predicted model, not a curated record. NCBI's taxonomy places the organism in Eukaryota, Metazoa, Chordata, Mammalia, Carnivora, Felidae. The transcript is spliced from 5 exons.
CAGAGCCUGGAUCCUGUGUCUUCUCUCUCUGUUGCUCCCCUGCUUGCGUGCGCGCACGCUCUCUCUCUCUCUCUCUCUCUCUCUCUCUCUCUCAGAAACAAGUAAAGAUUCAGAACAAAAAAAGUACAGAAAUCACUUGCCUCACCCAAGCCUACUGAGUCCAAAUCAACAGGGUGAGGCCUGAGAAUUGACUUUUUUAACCAGCAUCCUGAGUGAUUCUUUUGUUCAGACAAGUUUGAGAAACAUUGUAUUACAUGAUCAGUAAGAUAUCUUUCAACUCUAAGAUUGCUCAAAUGAUCCUUCAAAAUACCAACCCUUUUUCCCCCCUCCCUCCAAAUUGGGGAGGUAAGAAUUAAAUGAUAACAAAUCAAGUUAGCUUGUGGGUGGAAAAAUAUUGGUGGGGCUGGUCUGCCACCAGAUUAUAAUAUAUAUGAAGAUUGUCUUGGGGACACUCAACCUUAGCUACUCAAGGGUUCUGUGUUGUUCCUGCUCUAAAUUAAUACCUCUUCUCAGGAAGGACUUGAACAAUUUAUUCACUCUGGAAUUUAAAAAGCUUAAGAGCCUUCUUGAAUUUUCUCUCUGGCAUAUUAACAAGAUCUGAAAUCAACAGAAUGAAAGCAUCAAGAAUGUCCAUAAGUGGGGCAAGCACCAAAAUCAGGCAGGGACCUCACUCAGAAAACUGCUGAGCUGGUUCAACACGAAGCAGGAGAGUCUGCACCAGUUCAAGGAUGGUAUAAUAGGACAUUAGUCAUCCAAGCAAAGAAAUGUACCAGAAAUCAGAACAAAGUCAGUGUCACCAUUACAGAGCACAAACUCUGGAUAUCUUCUUUGAGCAACUUUAAUCUCUUCUCACAAACCCAUCUGCUGACAAGAGACAUUGGAGCAAACUUGUUUUGAAGAGCAAAAAUUCAAAAAUCAUAAAUUCAUUCUUUCAUGUGUUCACUACUAUUCCUUGAGGAAAUUCAUCUAUUGAUGUAUUCAACAUUAUUUAUUGAGUCCUCCCAUGCACCAGGCACUUUCUAGGUCCUUUGAAUACAGUAGUGAAUAAGGUGCAUUCCUGAGUGCAUUCUAGAAGAUGUUCUGGAGGUUAUAUUCUAGAAGGUGAAGGGGAUCAGAAUAUGCUACCCUAAAAUAUGCGACUUUGGCAUAAAUAUUAUUUUGAGCUGAAUUAAGAAGCAGCAGAUGCUGGUAAAAGCUCUUUGUCCCCCGCCCAUCUGUCUAAAGGCAGGGCACACAAUUCCCUUCGUGAAGAUGUCCCCUCUCUGCUCUCCUGUAUCAGGAGGAUAAAAACAGCCUGGACACUGGCCCAGAGGACCUACAAAAACACACCUUCCUAAAAUAAUCCUUAUUUUCCAUUCAUUUCCCUCAUAUAUCUACCUUCUCACCAUUUACGGACCAUCAGAGCCUUAAGCCCCUUUUUCCUUUGUUUGGUCGGUAUUCCACAAAUGUAUUGCUCUUUGUUAAAAUGGUAUCUAAGCCCCUGGUCUAACCAUUUCUUUGGGAUUUUCACUUCAUUUAUUCAGGCCUUUCAUAUGCAUGUGAAAUAACCCUUUUUCUCCUGUUAAUCUGUCUUUUGUCAAUUUAACUUUCACGACCCCUUGCACAGAGGUAAGAACAAAGAGGAAGGACCAUUAGAUGGGACUUGCCCUACCCCCAGGUAAGUUUGUGUCUCCGUGUCUGGUGGGUGGAAUAAUGGAGGUCCAGGGAAGACAGAGGACCUACCCAGAAAAUGGUGAGGGUAGGGGCCAGGUUUCCUAGUGUUCAGAGGUAACUUUUUUCUGAUGAACUUAACCUUCUGAAUGUUGGUUCCCAAUGAAGAGGUUUUAUUAUUGCCUCAUAGGUGCCCUUAUGUAUUUCUGAGUCCUUUUGUAUGGAUUACUUGUGGGAUUUAAGUGCAGGAGCAGUAUAAGGCUCUCCAACCUCAGGGCUGUGAAAUCUUCGUAACCCAUUUUCAAAAGAUUAAAGGAUAACAAUGAGUAAGAAAUACCGAGGUUCUAUAGAACCAAAGACUUAUAAUAACCUCACCUGACAAAGACAAUGGUAAAACACUUUGUUCCCAAUUAAGGGGGAUCUGGAAUGGUUUGAUUGCCAGAAAUCAACUGGUCCCAGUUGGGAUCCAUUCUGUUCACUAGCUUGGAAAUUAUUUUUACCAUGGAUCUUUACAGCCACAUUUCCCUCUAGACUCCUGGUAAUGCUUGAAUCCUUCCACUGCAAGAAAACAAUGAAAUCUUUUCUUCUAAAACAUAUUGACUCUGUCUAAUUGGGUUUGUUUCCCAUAUGUCAAGAGGAUGAAUGGCAUGUUCAAAUAUGAUGUGAUCUGAAGUAUUUGACAAAAGAUUGGUUGUAUGAAAAUGACUUUUUGGCAUUAGUACAAGAGAGAGCUAGGGGAGAGAAGCAGAGGGAGAAAGAGAGAGAGAAUCCCAAGUGGGCUCUGCGGUGAGUGUGGAGUUCAAAACCACGACCUUGGGAUCAUGACCUGAGCCGAAAUCAAGUCAGACACUCAACCAACUGAGCCACCCAGGGGCCCCAGAUUCACUGCUUCUUAAGGUGCUUCCUAGGUGCCCAGAUCUUACAUACGUCAUCUGAUUUAAUCCUUACUGCCAGUCCAAAAGUGUAAGCUUAAUGAGAGAAGGGGCUUUGUGACAUCCAGAAUUGUUACUCCAGGGCCUAGAACACUGUCUGAAAUACAAGAGAGAGAGCACAAGCAGGGGAGAGACAGAAAGAAUCCUAAGCA